This 169-nucleotide ribosomal RNA is filed under the name Staphylococcus aureus. RNAcentral describes it as "partial 23S ribosomal RNA". It matches the Rfam family "Bacterial large subunit ribosomal RNA", at positions 1 to 169 of the family's 2925-position model. The record is from RNAcentral. Lineage: Bacteria; Bacillati; Bacillota; Bacilli; Caryophanales; Staphylococcaceae.
GAUUAAGUUCUUAAUGGCGCACGGUGGAUGCCUUGGCACUAGAAGCCGAAGAAGGACGUUACUAACGACGAUAUGCUUUGGGGAGCUGUAAGUAAGCUUUGAGCCAGAGAUUUCCGAAUGGGGAAUCCCAGCAUGAGUUAUGUCAUGUUAUCGAUCUGUGAAUACAUAG